This 500-nucleotide ribosomal RNA is filed under the name uncultured bacterium. RNAcentral describes it as "partial 16S ribosomal RNA". It matches the Rfam family "Bacterial small subunit ribosomal RNA", at positions 30 to 523 of the family's 1533-position model. The record is from RNAcentral.
AUUGAACGCUGGCGGCAUGCCUUACACAUGCAAGUCGAACGGCAGCACGGGAGCAAUCCUGGUGGCGAGUGGCGAACGGGUGAGUAAUGUAUCGGAACGUGCCCAGGCGUGGGGGAUAACGUAGCGAAAGCUACGCUAAUACCGCAUACGAUCUAUGGAUGAAAGCGGGGGACCGUAAGGCCUCGCGCGAUUGGAGCGGCCGAUAUCAGAUUAGGUAGUUGGUGGGGUAAAGGCCUACCAAGCCGACGAUCUGUAGCUGGUCUGAGAGGACGACCAGCCACACUGGGACUGAGACACGGCCCAGACUCCUACGGGAGGCAGCAGUGGGGAAUUUUGGACAAUGGGCGCAAGCCUGAUCCAGCAAUGCCGCGUGCAGGAUGAAGGCCUUCGGGUUGUAAACUGCUUUUGUACGGAGCGAAAAGGCUCUCUCUAAUACAGGGGGCUCAUGACGGUACCGUAAGAUUAAGCACCGGCUAACUACGUGCCAGCCGCCGCCGUAA